Long non-coding RNA from Anopheles coluzzii, 731 nucleotides. RefSeq lists it as uncharacterized. Lineage: Eukaryota; Metazoa; Arthropoda; Insecta; Diptera; Culicidae. The record is from RefSeq and is a predicted model, not a curated record. The transcript is spliced from 2 exons.
CUCUCUCUCUCUCUCUCUCUCUCUCUCUCUCUCUCUCUCUCUUUCUUUCUUUCUUAAGCUUAUCUAUAUGAAGUUUCACGCACACAAGCUGUCAUCGCCGCAGGCACUCCCAAUUUGACCCUUGUGUCGAACCGGACCUGCGCUCGUGAGCGCUAAUUCAUUCCACAUUCAACCAUCGGGUCCUACGGUGCGUGUCACGGAUUAGUUUUGUUUGACUGUGUUUUUGUUCCUGUGUUGUGGCAACACGAUUUCAUUCAUCCCACACUCGGCCGAUCGCAGCACGAUGCAGAAAGCAUACUGGACAAUUUUUGUGUCGCCCAAAAGUCGCUGUGAUUUUUGCGAGCGACCUUUGCGUGCUGUAUGUAACAAGUGUAAGUACUCUGGUCGCGUUGGAACGUGCCCGAUCGUAGUGCGAAAGAGAAAUGUAAGUGCCGGUGUAACGCUACUAGCUGUGAUGUGUCCAGAUAUGCCAACAACUAACUGCCCUACUACUACCCUCCCAUACAGGUUUUGGUUCACUCACACUGCUGGGAGCGGAUGUUGGGACGCUAGCAAAUCUCUACCUUAGCAGCAGCAAUAGCUUCACUUGGGCCAUACAUCCAUCCCUUGAAACUAGUUUCAAUGUCAUAAAAUUGUCCUCUUUAUGUACUCGCUGCUGCAAGCGUCAUUGAUGCUAAAAAUAAAACCAGAAAAAUAAAUUGUACACCCAUGCUUUCGCAUGGCCACUACAA